AACAAGGUGAUGGUGUUCCACCUUUCCCAACCGCCGCGCGAUCGUGCGGCUGAUGACGCCUGAU
This 64-nucleotide non-coding RNA is filed under the name uncultured Oxalobacter sp. RNAcentral describes it as "Fluoride riboswitch". The stretch from base 6 to 62 matches the Rfam family "Fluoride riboswitch aptamer (crcB RNA motif)", at positions 10 to 57 of the family's 64-position model. Lineage: Bacteria; Pseudomonadati; Pseudomonadota; Betaproteobacteria; Burkholderiales; Oxalobacteraceae. The record is from RNAcentral.